RNAcentral lists this antisense RNA (101 nucleotides) under Shewanella mangrovi. RNAcentral describes it as "Vibrio RNA AS9". It matches the Rfam family "Vibrio RNA AS9". From Rfam's summary of the family: Identified by direct cloning an parallel sequencing experiments with 5S/tRNA depletion. Confirmed by Northern blot. Lineage: Bacteria; Pseudomonadati; Pseudomonadota; Gammaproteobacteria; Alteromonadales; Shewanellaceae. The record is from Rfam by way of RNAcentral.
ACGGCAACGCUCUUUGGUAAGCGUUAGACAGAUCAAGCCACGGCCAUAACGGGCCAUAAAGUUAAUCGCUUCCGGAGUGAUCUUGUCAGCAGCGAUAAUGA